UGGGGAAUAUUGCACAAUGGGCGCAAGCCUGAUGCAGCCAUGCCGCGUGUAUGAAGAAGGCCUUCGGGUUGUAAAUGUUACUUUUCAGCGAGGAGGAAGGCAUUGUGGUUAAUAACCGCAGUGUUUGACGUUACUCGCAGAAGAAGCACCGGCUAACUCCGUGCCGCAGCCGCGGUAAUACGGAGGGUGCAAGCGUUAAUCGGAAUUACUGGGCGUAAAGCGCACGCAGGCGGUCUGUCAAGUCGGAUGUGAAAUCCCCGGGCUCAACCUGGGAACUGCAUUCGAAACUGGCAGGCUAGAGUCUUGUAGAGGGGGGUAGAAUUCCAGGUGUAGCGGUGAAAUUGCGUAGAGAUCUUGGAGGAAUACCGGUGGCGAAGGCGGCCCCCUGGACAAAGACUGACGCUCAGGUGCGAAAGCGUGGGAGCAAACA
This 430-nucleotide ribosomal RNA is filed under the name uncultured Buttiauxella sp. RNAcentral describes it as "bacterial SSU rRNA". It matches the Rfam family "Bacterial small subunit ribosomal RNA", at positions 355 to 774 of the family's 1533-position model. Lineage: Bacteria; Pseudomonadati; Pseudomonadota; Gammaproteobacteria; Enterobacterales; Enterobacteriaceae. The record is from RNAcentral.